Molecule: small nuclear RNA, 336 nt
Filed under: Nannospalax galili (Upper Galilee mountains blind mole rat)
Lineage: Eukaryota; Metazoa; Chordata; Mammalia; Rodentia; Spalacidae
Description: 7SK RNA (ENSNGAG00000004355.1)
Rfam family: 7SK RNA
About the family: 7SK was discovered as an abundant small nuclear RNA in the mid-70s but a possible function has only recently been suggested. Two independent studies have found that 7SK RNA binds the CDK9/cyclin T complex (known as elongation factor P-TEFb). P-TEFb activates transcription by phosphorylating the C-terminal domain of RNA polymerase II.
Source: Rfam by way of RNAcentral
GAAUUUGAGGGCAAUCUGGCUGCAACAUCUGUCACCCCAUUGAUUGCCAGGGUUGAUUCAGCUGAUCUAGCUGGCUAGGCGGGUGUCCCCUUCCUCCCUUAAUGUUCCACGUGCAUCCCUCCCGAAGCUGUGCACUCGGUCGAAGAGGAUGACGUUUCCCGAUAGAGGAGGACCGGUCUUCAGUCAAGAGUAUACAAGCAGCUGUGUUCCCCUGCUAGAACCUCCAAACAAGCUGUCAAGAAAGAGAGGGUCUCACUCUCAUGUAGCCUAGGCUAAUCUCAAUCUUGCUUUAUAGCCAAGGCUGGCCUAAGACUCCUAAUCCUCCUGCCUCUUCCU